RNAcentral lists this transfer RNA (74 nucleotides) under Dipodomys ordii (Ord's kangaroo rat). It matches the Rfam family "tRNA". From Rfam's summary of the family: Transfer RNA (tRNA) molecules are approximately 80 nucleotides in length. Their secondary structure includes four short double-helical elements and three loops (D, anti-codon, and T loops). The record is from Rfam by way of RNAcentral. Lineage: Eukaryota; Metazoa; Chordata; Mammalia; Rodentia; Heteromyidae.
UGAGGUGUGGCUCAAGUGGUAGAGCACUUGCCUUGCCAAGUAUAAGACCCUGAGUUCAAACCUCAGUACCACCA